RNAcentral lists this ribosomal RNA (780 nucleotides) under uncultured bacterium. RNAcentral's name for it is "bacterial SSU rRNA". It matches the Rfam family "Bacterial small subunit ribosomal RNA", at positions 8 to 796 of the family's 1533-position model. The record is from RNAcentral.
AGAGUUUGAUCAUGGCUCAGAUUGAACGCUGGCGGUAUGCCUAACACAUGCAAGUCGAACGAGGUAGCAAUACCUAGUGGCGGACGGGUGAGGAAUACGUAGGGAUCUGCCCUUAAGUGGGGGAUAACCCGGGGAAACCCGGAUUAAUACCGCAUGAUCUCGCAAGAGCAAAGAGGGGGACCGCAAGGCCUCUCGCUUUUGGAGGAACCUACGUCGGAUUAGCUAGUUGGUGAGGUAAUGGCUCACCAAGGCGAUGAUCCGUAACUGGUCUGAGAGGAUGAUCAGUCACACCGGAACUGAGACACGGUCCGGACUCCUACGGGAGGCAGCAGUGGGGAAUAUUGGACAAUGGGCGAAAGCCUGAUCCAGCAAUACCGCGUGUGUGAAGAAGGCCUUCGGGUUGUAAAGCACUUUAAGUUGGGAAGAAAAAGCUUCACCUAAUACGUGAAGCCUUGACGGUACCGACAGAAUAAGCACCGGCUAACUCUGUGCCAGCAGCCGCGGUAAUACAGAGGGUGCUAGCGUUAAUCGGAUUUACUGGGCGUAAAGCGUGCGUAGGUGGUUUGAUAAGUCGAUUGUGAAAGCCCCGGGCUUAACCUGGGAAUUGCGGUCGAUACUGUCAGACUCGAAAACGGUAGAGGGAGGUGGAACUCCAGGUGUAGCGGUGAAAUGCGUAGAUAUCUGGAAGAACACCGAUGGCGAAGGCAGCUUCCUGGGCCUGUUUUGACACUGAGGCACGAAAGCGUGGGUAGCAAACAGGAUUAGAUACCCUGGUAGUCC